CCUACGUGAGGCAGCAGUGGGGAAUAUUGCACAAUGGGCGCAAGCCUGAUGCAGCGACGCCGCGUGAGGGAUGGAGGCCUUCGGGUUGUAAACCUCUUUUAUCGGGGAGCAAGCGUGAGUGAGUUUACCCGUUGAAUAAGCACCGGCUAACUACGUGCCAGCAGCCGCGGUAAUACGUAGGGUGCAAGCGUUAUCCGGAAUUAUUGGGCGUAAAGGGCUCGUAGGCGGUUCGUCGCGUCCGGUGUGAAAGUCCAUCGCUUAACGGUGGAUCCGCGCCGGGUACGGGCGGGCUUGAGUGCGGUAGGGGAGACUGGAAUUCCCGGUGUAACGGUGGAAUGUGUAGAUAGCGGGAAGAACACCAAUGGCGAAGGCAGGUCUCGGGGCCGUUACUGACGCUGAGGAGCGAAAGCGUGGGGAGCGAACAGGAGUAGAUACCCGUGUAGUC
Molecule: ribosomal RNA, 445 nt
Filed under: uncultured Bifidobacterium sp.
Lineage: Bacteria; Bacillati; Actinomycetota; Actinomycetes; Bifidobacteriales; Bifidobacteriaceae
Description: bacterial SSU rRNA
Rfam family: Bacterial small subunit ribosomal RNA
Source: RNAcentral